Molecule: ribosomal RNA, 782 nt
Filed under: uncultured marine eukaryote
Lineage: Eukaryota
Description: SSU rRNA
Rfam family: Eukaryotic small subunit ribosomal RNA
Source: RNAcentral
GAGCUAAUACAUGCAAACACACUCGACUUCUGGAAGGGAUGUAUUUAUUAGAUUAAAAACCAAUGCGGAUCCUCGUGGUCCGUCUCCUUGGUGAUUCAUGAUAACUUUUCGAAUCGCAUGGCCUCGCGCCGGCGAUGUUUCAUUCAAAUUUCUGCCCUAUCAACUGUCGAUGGUAAGGUAGUGGCUUACCAUGGUUGUAACGGGUGACGGAGAAUUAGGGUUCGAUUCCGGAGAGGGAGCCUGAGAAACGGCUACCACAUCUAAGGAAGGCAGCAGGCACGAAAAUUACCCAAUCCCAACACGGGGAGGUAGUGACAAGAAAUAACGAUACGGGGUCUUAAUAGGUCUCGCAAUUGGAAUGAGUACAAUUUAAAUCCUUUAACGAGGAUCAAUUGGAGGGCAAGUCUGGUGCCAGCAGCCGCGGUAAUUCCAGCUCCAAUAGCGUAUAUUAAAGUUGUUGCAGUUAAAAAGCUCGUAGUUGGAUUUCGGGACGGGCCAGUUGGUCCGCCGCAAGGUGUGUUACUGACUGGUCUGUUCUUCUUCGCAAAGACUUCGUAUGCUCUUCAGUGAGUGUGCGUAGGAUUUACGACGCUUACUUUGAAAAAAUUAGAGUGUUCAAAGCAGGCUAUCGCUUGAAUACAUGAGCAUGGAAUAAUGGAAUAGGACUUUGGUCCUAUUUUGUUGGUUUCUAGGACCGAAGUAAUGAUUAAGAGGGACAAUUGGGGGCAUCCGUAUUUCGUUGUCAGAGGUGAAAUUCUUGGAUUUACGAAAGACGAACUACA